AGUUCACCGAAGCUCCGGCUGAGGUCUUGCUGAGCACCCGCAGGCGCCUGUGUAUCAAUAAAUCGCCUCUUGCUUUUGCAGCCAGUGUCUCGUGUGCUUUUCCUUGGACAGGGAGUCGGAGGGUCUUUCACAGGUUCCUGCAGAGAGUGACAGACUUCUUUCUGGGUCUGGAGCUGGAGCGGUGAUGUCCAGGACAGAAGCUACAAGGUAAGGGGCACAGAAGCCUGUUGUGGGAGGGUCUGAUGCUUUGUAUUUUCCUCUUAGGGUCCAAGGCAACGUAUCAGCCUACAGCAGGUAAAGGGGAGACCUGCUUAUGGUCACACCCAGGUAGAGGGAUGGAAGGUGUUUGGGGAGGGCUAGGCAGGGCUCUUGUCUCCAGAGGCUGAGUAGGAGGACCCUGGCCUCCUGACCUCUCCCCGCAGCAGGCUGAGUGCACUUCAUCCCCUGCUUCCUGGUUCAUUCUGUGGCUCAGAGGCCAGGUAAGUGGCUCUGGAAGAGGAAGUCCCAGGAGUGAUAAGGAGGAUGUUGCUUGGAGGUCUUUCUCUCCCAGAAGAAUCACAACACAGGCUGCUUACAAGGAACUGGACAUCUUACCCUCCCGGAAAACCAGGAGGUCUUUGAUGUCAAUAUGUGAGCAAGUGUGAACACAUGCCCAGGAUGCACAGUUGGUGAGAAGUGACCACUAUGGCCAUUGUGUUUGUUUCUUUCCCUCUACCUGCUAUGGGAAGGAAUGUAGGGAGGUGAGGCCGCUCAGACCUGGAGGACAUGGUAAGGGCUAUUUCAACUGUUAAUUUUUCCAUUGAUUCUGUGUGUGAUUCUUUAUGGGAGCUAGGAAGAGCCUGAGACAGAAGAUGCAAGAGGGGAGGACCUUGGAGCAUCUGGGGGAUGGCAGGCCUUGCUGUCUUUGCCACAGGAAGUGCACCGUCCCUCCCUGGGUUUGGAAUGGACAAGAGCCUGCUGUCCCCACCUGGAGGAGUCUUCCUACUGCAUAGCAGGUUGGAGCUCUUUAUGCAUUUUUCCUGCAAUUUCAGCAGCUCUCCACCGCUUCAACCCAGCCUCAUGGAAAUUUGGCUGUGACCUGCGGACAGGAGAUGGCUUUUCUCCGUCUCUUCCCACACCUAGUCAUGCCCCACACGUGCUUACUGCCCAUCCACCUGUGGCCAGAUUUGGAGACUUGGCACAGGAGAGGGAGAUGCAGAGGCUGGACCUAUCAGGCCAGGGAGCUACCUUCUGGAGACUUCAAUCAGAAGGGGUACGGUUUACAAACAGGCACGGAGAACCCAGCAGCAAGAAGUUUUCCCUGAUAUUAUUUUUGGGUGCAGGCACAGGACUGGGGAUGGAACCCAGCGAUGCUUUACCUCUGAUCUACAUUCCUCGUCCUUUUCACUUUUUAUGGAGACAGGGUCUUGCUAAGUUGCUAAGGCUGGUCUGGAACUUGCAAUCUGCCUUCUUCAGCCUCCUGAGAAGCUGA
RNAcentral lists this long non-coding RNA (1471 nucleotides) under Marmota marmota marmota (Alpine marmot). RNAcentral's name for it is "lncRNA (ENSMMMG00000012540.1)". The record is from RNAcentral. Lineage: Eukaryota; Metazoa; Chordata; Mammalia; Rodentia; Sciuridae.